This 1142-nucleotide ribosomal RNA is filed under the name uncultured bacterium. Its description in RNAcentral is "bacterial SSU rRNA". It matches the Rfam family "Bacterial small subunit ribosomal RNA", at positions 234 to 1399 of the family's 1533-position model. The record is from RNAcentral.
CGUUGGAUUAGCUAGUUGGUAGGGUAACGGCCCACCAAGGCGACGAUCCAUAGCCGGCCUGAGAGGGUGACCGGCCACAUUGGGACUGAGACACGGCCCAGACUCCUACGGGAGGCAGCAGUGGGGAAUAUUGCACAAUGGGGGAAACCCUGAUGCAGCGACGCCGCGUGAAGGAAGAAGUAUCUCGGUAUGUAAAGUUCUAUCAGCAGGGAAGAUAGUGACGGUACCUGACUAAGAAGCCCCGGCUAAAUACGUGCCAGCAGCCGCGGUAAUACGUAGGGGGCAAGCGUUAUCCGGAUUUACUGGGUGUAAAGGGAGCGUAGACGGUGUGGCAAGUCUGAUGUGAAAGGCAUGGGCUCAACCUGUGGACUGCAUUGGAAACUGUCAUACUUGAGUGUCGGAGGGGUAAGCGGAAUUCCUAGUGUAGCGGUGAAAUGCGUAGAUAUUAGGAGGAACACCAGUGGCGAAGGCGGCUUACUGGACGAUAACUGACGUUGAGGCUCGAAAGUGUGGGUAGCAAACAGAAGUAGAUACCCUGGUAGUCCACACCGUAAACGAUGAUUACUAGGUGUUGGAGGAUUGACCCCUUCAGUGCCGCAGUUAACACAAUAAGUAAUCCACCUGGGGAGUACGACCGCAAGGUUGAAACUCAAAGGAAUUGACGGGGGCCCGCACAAGCAGUGGAGUAUGUGGUUUAAUUCGACGCAACGCGAAGAACCUUACCAAGUCUUGACAUCCCUUGACGAUGCUGGAAACAGUAUUUCUCUUCGGAGCAAGGAGACAGGUGGUGCAUGGUUGUCGUCAGCUCGUGUCGUGAGAUGUUGGGUUAAGUCCCGCAACGAGCGCAAUCCUUAUGGUCAGUUACUAUGCAAGAGGACUCUGGCCAGUACUGCCGUUGACAAAUCGGAGGAAGGUGGGGAUUGACGUCAAAUCAUCAUGCCCUUUAUGACUUGGGCUACACACGUAAUACAAUGGCGUUAAACAAGGAGAAGCAAGACCGAGAGGUGGAGCAAAACUCAGAAACAAUGUCCCAGUUAGGCACGCAGGAAGCAAUUCGCAAGCAAGUAGUAGGAAUUGCUAGUAAUGGUGGAUCAGCAUGACGCGGUGAAUAAGUUCUCGGCCCGAGCACUCACCGCCCGUCA